Molecule: ribosomal RNA, 478 nt
Filed under: uncultured bacterium
Lineage: Bacteria
Description: partial 16S ribosomal RNA
Rfam family: Bacterial small subunit ribosomal RNA
Source: RNAcentral
GACGAACGCUGGCGGCGUGCUUAACACAUGCAAGUCGAACGGUAAGGCCCUUCGGGGUACACGAGUGGCGAACGGGUGAGUAACACGUGGGUGAUCUGCCCUGCACUUCGGGAUAAGCCUGGGAAACUGGGUCUAAUACCGGAUAGGACUCCUGGCUUCAUGGUUGGGGGUGGAAAGCUUUUGUGGUGUGGGCUGGGCCCGCGGCCUAUCAGCUUGUUGGUGGGGUAAUGGCCUACCAAGGCGACGACGGGUAGCCGGCCUGAGAGGGUGACCGGUCACACUGGGACUGAGAUACGGCCCAGACUCCUACGGGAGGCAGCAGUGGGGAAUAUUGCACAAUGGGCGCAAGCCUGAUGCAGCGACGCCGCGUGAGGGAUGACGGCCUUCGGGUUGUAAACCUCUUUCAGCUAUGACGAAGCGCAAGUGACGGUAGUAGCAGAAGAAGGACCGGCCAACUACGUGCCAGCAGCCGCCGUAA